AAAGUGGCGAACGGCUGAGUAACACGUGGGCAACCUGCCCUUUGCACUGGGAUAGCCUCGGGAAACCGAGGUUAAUACCGGAUACUCCAUAUUUGUCGCAUGGCGAAUAUGGGAAAAGCUCCGGCGGCAAAGGAUGGGCCCGCGGCCUGUUAGCUAGUUGGUGGGGUAGUGGCCUACCAAGGCAAUGAUGGGUAGCCGGGUUGAGAGACCGACCGGCCAGAUUGGGACUGAGACACGGCCCAGACUCCUACGGGAGGCAGCAGGC
RNAcentral lists this ribosomal RNA (265 nucleotides) under uncultured Atopobium sp. Its description in RNAcentral is "partial 16S ribosomal RNA". It matches the Rfam family "Bacterial small subunit ribosomal RNA", at positions 92 to 354 of the family's 1533-position model. Lineage: Bacteria; Bacillati; Actinomycetota; Coriobacteriia; Coriobacteriales; Atopobiaceae. The record is from RNAcentral.